AUCGCUUCUCGGCCUUUUGGCUAAGAUCAAAGUGUAGUGCACCUAUUAUUAUAAUUGUUUUAUUUGAAUAUAAUUUGUUACAUUUCUUUUGAUUUUCGUACAUUUAGCGCCUUGAUCAAACAAUCGUCAGGCGAGUUCCGCACUUUUA
Molecule: small nuclear RNA, 148 nt
Filed under: Rhodnius prolixus
Lineage: Eukaryota; Metazoa; Arthropoda; Insecta; Hemiptera; Reduviidae
Description: U2 spliceosomal RNA
Rfam family: U2 spliceosomal RNA
About the family: U2 is a small nuclear RNA (snRNA) component of the spliceosome (involved in pre-mRNA splicing). Complementary binding between U2 snRNA (in an area lying towards the 5' end but 3' to hairpin I) and the branchpoint sequence (BPS) of the intron results the bulging out of an unpaired adenosine, on the BPS, which initiates a nucleophilic attack at the intronic 5' splice site, thus starting the first of two transesterification reactions that mediate splicing.
Source: Rfam by way of RNAcentral